RNAcentral lists this ribosomal RNA (422 nucleotides) under uncultured bacterium. Its description in RNAcentral is "bacterial SSU rRNA". It matches the Rfam family "Bacterial small subunit ribosomal RNA", at positions 359 to 772 of the family's 1533-position model. The record is from RNAcentral.
GAAUUUUGGGCAAUGGCCGAAAGGCUGACCCAGCGACGCCGCGUGCGGGAGGACGCCCUUCGGGGUGUAAACCGCUGUCGGAGGGGAAGAAACACUCGGGUGGGAAUACUGCCCGGGCUUGACGGUACCCUCAAAGGAAGCACCGGCUAACUCUGUGCCAGCAGCCGCGGUAAUACAGAGGGUGCAAGCGUUGUUCGGAAUCACUGGGCGUAAAGCGCGCGCAGGCGGGACGACAAGUCGGGAGUGAAAUUCCGGGGCUCAACUCCGGAACUGCUUUCGAAACUGUCGACCUGGGGACCGGUAGAGGCUGGUAGAAUUCCCGGUGUAGCGGUGGAAUGCGUAGAGAUCGGGAAGAAUACCCGUGGCGAAGGCGGCCAGCUGGGCCGGAUCCGACGCUGAGGCGCGAAAGCGUGGGGAGCAAA